RNAcentral lists this ribosomal RNA (485 nucleotides) under uncultured bacterium. Its description in RNAcentral is "bacterial SSU rRNA". It matches the Rfam family "Bacterial small subunit ribosomal RNA", at positions 28 to 507 of the family's 1533-position model. The record is from RNAcentral.
GAUGAACGCUGGCGGCGUGCCUCAAACAUGCAAGUCGAGCGGGGCUAUGUAAUAUCGCAAGGUAGAACAUAGCCUAGCGGCGAACGGGUGAGUAACACGUGGGUAACCUGCCUGGAAGACAGGGAUAACGAUUCGAAAGGGUCGCUAAUACCUGAUAAUAUCCUUUCAUCGCAUGGUGAUAGGAAGAAAGGGGAAACCCGCUUUCAGAUGGGCCCGCGUCCCAUCAGCUAGUUGGUAAGGUAAAGGCUUACCAAGGCGACGACGGGUAGCCGGUCUGAGAGGAUGUACGGCCACACUGGGACUGAGAUACGGCCCAGACUCCUACGGGAGGCAGCAGUUGGGAAUCUUAGGCAAUGGACGAAAGCCUGAUGCAGCGACGCCGCGUGAAGGAUGAAGGUCUUCGGAUUGUAAACUUCUAUCAGCAGGGAAGAAAGGGCUUAUAGCCUAUGACGGUACCUGACUAAGAAGCCCCGGCUAACUACGUG